GACGAACGCUGGCGGCGUGCUUAACACAUGCGAGUCGAACGGAAAGGCCCUGCUUUUGUGGGGUGCUCGAGUGGCGAACGGGUGAGUAACACGUGAGUAACCUGCCCUUGACUUUGGGAUAACUUCAGGAAACUGGGGCUAAUACCGGAUAGGAGCUCCUGCUGCAUGGUGGGGGUUGGAAAGUUUCGGCGGUUGGGGAUGGACUCGCGGCUUAUCAGCUUAUUGGUGGGGUAGUGGCUUACCAAGGCUUUGACGGGUAGCCGGCCUGAGAGGGUGACCGGCCACAUUGGGACUGAGAUACGGCCCAGACUCCUACGGGAGGCAGCAGUGGGGAAUAUUGCACAAUGGGCGGAAGCCUGAUGCAGCAACGCCGCGUGCGGGAUGACGGCCUUCGGGUUGUAAACCGCUUUCGCCUGUGACGAAGCGUGAGUGACGGUAAUGGGUAAAGAAGCACCGGCUAACUACGUG
Molecule: ribosomal RNA, 468 nt
Filed under: uncultured bacterium
Lineage: Bacteria
Description: partial 16S ribosomal RNA
Rfam family: Bacterial small subunit ribosomal RNA
Source: RNAcentral